UGGGGAAUUUUGGACAAUGGGCGCAAGCCUGAUCCAGCCAUGCCGCGUGAGUGAAGAAGGCCUUCGGGUUGUAAAGCUCUUUCGGCCGGGAAGAAAUCGGGCAGGUCAAUAAUCUGUCUGGAUGACGGUACCGGAAGAAGAAGCACCGGCUAACUACGUGCCAGCAGCCGCGGUAAUACGUAGGGUGCGAGCGUUAAUCGGAAUUACUGGGCGUAAAGCGUGCGCAGGCGGCCACAUAAGACAGCUGUGAAAGCCCCGGGCUCAACCUGGGAAUGGCGGUUGUGACUGUGUGGCUAGAGUGUGGCAGAGGGGGGUGGAAUUCCACGUGUAGCAGUGAAAUGCGUAGAGAUGUGGAGGAACACCGAUGGCGAAGGCAGCCCCCUGGGUCGCCACUGACGCUCAUGCACGAAAGCGUGGGGAGCAAACAGG
This 429-nucleotide ribosomal RNA is filed under the name uncultured Rhodocyclales bacterium. RNAcentral describes it as "bacterial SSU rRNA". It matches the Rfam family "Bacterial small subunit ribosomal RNA", at positions 355 to 776 of the family's 1533-position model. Lineage: Bacteria; Pseudomonadati; Pseudomonadota; Betaproteobacteria; Rhodocyclales. The record is from RNAcentral.